This 253-nucleotide ribosomal RNA is filed under the name uncultured bacterium. RNAcentral's name for it is "partial 16S ribosomal RNA". It matches the Rfam family "Bacterial small subunit ribosomal RNA", at positions 524 to 776 of the family's 1533-position model. The record is from RNAcentral.
UACGUAGGGUGCAAGCGUUGUCCGGAAUUAUUGGGCGUAAAGGGCUCGUAGGCGGUCCAUCGCGUCGGGAGUGAAAAGCUGGGGCUUAACCCCAGUCCUGCUUCCGAUACGGGUGGACUAGAGGUAGGCAGGGGAGAACGGAAUUCCUGGUGUAGCGGUGAAAUGCGCAGAUAUCAGGAGGAACACCGGUGGCGAAGGCGGGUUGCUGGGCUGAUACUGACGCUGAGGCGCGAAAGCCAGGGGAGCGAACGGG